UGGCAUCGGUGUGGGUGGGUUGGAGAGGCGCAGCAAAGCCUCUUGAAGAAGCCUAUAGCCACUGCAUGUUUUUUUCAGUGUGGAAGGAAGGAAGGUAAGGUUUCAGGCAGUCGAGAAAGCUGCCUGGCUCAGAGCUGCUGGUUGGGG
This is a non-coding RNA of Notechis scutatus (mainland tiger snake), 147 nucleotides long. NCBI's taxonomy places the organism in Eukaryota, Metazoa, Chordata, Lepidosauria, Squamata, Elapidae. The record is from RefSeq and is a predicted model, not a curated record.